GUAGUUAGUAGAGAAAUACUCGUGCGCGCACCACGGACAAAAACCAACCACCGUGCGCCAGCCGCCACGCCAGCGCCUGCCAUGGCUCCUCUCCUCCUCCUCCCCCUCCCCCUCCCCCUCCGACCCAUCCCCGCCGAGAACUCCAUUUCCCGGCUCGCACCGAGGCCAAGGUUCCCUCGUCCCUUCUCCAGGCGGCGCCUACGCCUUCCCGCCCUCCUCCAAGUCCAAUGCCUCGCGGCCACCGGCCCCGCCGCGCCCGCGCCGCGGUGGCACGCGGCACUGUCCGCCGCGGCGGGGCUGUACCCGGCCUACGUCGCAGCCGGCGCCUCCGUGGCCUUCACGCGGCCCGAGGCGUUCCGGUGGUUCGUGGCGCUGGCGCCGGGGUCCUACACCGCUACGCUCGGCUUCAUCAUGCUCGCCAUGGGCCUCACGCUCCAGCUCAGUGACUUCGCCGCCCUCCUCCGCGACAGGCCCCUCGCCAUUUUGUUCGGGUGUGCCGCCCAGUACACCAUAAUGCCUGCGUUUGGCGCUAUCAUUAGCCACGCGCUGGGGCUUCCCCCGUCGCUCUCAGCUGGCCUCAUCCUGCUGGGAUGCUGUCCUGGAGGAACUGCAUCCAAUGUGGUGACUUUAGUUGCUCAAGGCGACGUUCCAUUAUCCGUCGUGAUGACUGUCUGCAGCACUCUUGCUGCAGUGUUCCUUACUCCUCUGUUAACGAAAAUUCUUGCUGGUGCUUAUAUUCCUGUGGAUGCCGUUAAGCUCUCUCUCAGUACUUUGCAGGUGGUUGUUGCCCCAAUUCUAUUAGGUUCAUUGAUACAAACUGCAUUCCCAUCAGUAGCUCAAUUUCUGAGUCCUUUUGCACCUCUGAUGGCAGUCUUGGCUUCAUCACUUCUAGCAUCCAGUGUCUUCUCUGAGAACUUUGUGCGCCUAAGAUCGACAAUUGCCGAUGCAUCCCCUGUGAAUGGAAUGUUCUUUGGGGAUGUAGGGACUGUCAUCUUCUCUGUCUUCUUGCUGCAUUUUGCUGGUUUCUUUGUCGGGUAUGCAGCAGCAGCUAUAGGUGGUUUCAAAGAAAAGCAAAGGAGAGCAAUAUCGAUCGAGGUAGGAAUGCAGAACUCGUCCCUAGGGGUAGUUUUAGCAACCGCGCAUUUCUCCUCGCCCUUGGUCGCGCUGCCUCCUGCAGUCUCGGCCGUCGUCAUGAACAUGAUGGGUAGCACACUGGGUCUCGUAUGGCAAUAUACCAGCACUUCCGUGUCAGAGAACGAAACCAGUGCGUGAUCUACUCUUACUGUCGCCAUGUGCUUAAUCUAAUGUGUCGUAUCUACCACCACCACCACUACUACUACCCGAAUAUACCUUUCGAGUACUUUUGAUCAUGUUGGGGAACGGGGUCGCUGAUGAUGACCCUGGAAUGGAAAAAAUCUUGCUGUCUUAAUUACUGGAGGACCCAGGUUACCUGUCUGAAUUAUGUGGGUGGUGAAUGCCCAGGCUACAUAUGGGUCCCUUUUUUCAGCACUGCAAAUAGAGGGAAAACCCAUUUUGCAUGUGACCUGGUACAUUACAAUGCUGUGCUGUGCCUGCAAACAAAGCCCCGCGCCCACUGCUUCCACCUGUAUGUGCGUGCUCGUGCAAUGGCAUCAGGCAAAGGUCGCAAGGCCAAGUGCCAUUUGCACCCAUGCGCUCUUGUGGCAGUAGUGCUACCGACUAAUGAUGAUGACCAGAGCUCGCGACUGCCCCACAGAGAGAGGUUUGCCGAACCGCUUGAUGAGAUUCAUUCACGGAACCACGAGGAGCAGGCAGGCAGGGAAAAGCAGAUCUCGCCACAGCUGCAGGAUCAUGAUCAUCGCCUGGUGUUUUCCUGGGAUCUAAACCACGCUGCUUACUUUUUAAAGCUUUUCUUCUUGCAGCUCAACGGCGACGACCUGGAGCGUUCAGCUUUGCCUUUGAAUGACCGGCACUGUAGCACGUCCAGAUCAGGUCCCGUUGUUCUGAAUCCUGGCUAGCAGCUUAGCAUGGUACGGUCAAAUGAAGCUGUCAUGUGCGCCCGUAACGAGUCAAAGUAGAUGAACAUGUGAGUGCAACUAAACCUGUCCGUUGAGAUGAACAUGUCUACGCUACUUUUGCCGAGGCUGACGGCGUCUCCCGCUCCUGUUCAAGUGGAGAUUAACAAAGUUGCUCACACACACUGAUCGGGGAGGGAUCAAAGUAGUAUAUGUUCAAUCUGGCUGGUUAUUUGGUCUGUGAAUCAUGUGCUGGGAUUUAACUAGUCUCUCUGUCUCCCAGUUGCGGUUGAUCAGCUCCUUCCUAUUAAUGUUCCAGCCACGCUGAGUCACAGCUGCUGGCUGAACACCGGGCAUCAUCCAGUGGAGUUCUUUUUGUGGACGAAGUCAAAGAUGACAAUGAGACGUGAUUAGUGCGGACGCACGUUCUCAUUGAAAAAUUAACGGCUUUCACUGUCAUUUCGUAUUUUUAUUUUAUUCCUGUAAUGGUUGCACUAUGUCCUUGUUGUGUAUAUAUAUAUAUUGUUGGCCA
Molecule: RNA transcript, 2526 nt
Organism: Zea mays
Lineage: Eukaryota; Viridiplantae; Streptophyta; Magnoliopsida; Poales; Poaceae
Gene name: bile acid sodium symporter/ transporter
Exons: 8
Source: RefSeq, marked validated